RNAcentral lists this ribosomal RNA (253 nucleotides) under uncultured bacterium. Its description in RNAcentral is "partial 16S ribosomal RNA". It matches the Rfam family "Bacterial small subunit ribosomal RNA", at positions 524 to 776 of the family's 1533-position model. The record is from RNAcentral.
GACGUAGGGGGCAAGCGUUAUUCGGAAUCAUUGGGCGUAAAGCGCUCGUAGGCGGGACGGGAAGUCCGUGAAGAAAGACCUGGGCUCAACUCAGGGACCGGCACGGAUACUCUCGUUCUUGAGGCAAUCAGAGGGUGAUGGAAUUCCCGGUGUAGUGGUGAAAUGCGUAGAGAUCAGGAGGAACACCGGUGGCGAAGGCGGCCCACUGGGCAGUCACUGACGCUGAGGCGCGAAAGCUCGGGGAGCGAACGGG